This is a long non-coding RNA of Panicum virgatum (switchgrass), 786 nucleotides long. RefSeq lists it as uncharacterized. Lineage: Eukaryota; Viridiplantae; Streptophyta; Magnoliopsida; Poales; Poaceae. The transcript has 3 exons. The record is from RefSeq and is a predicted model, not a curated record.
ACUCUGCCGCACAUGGUCCAGCCACGAACAGAACGCCGAGCAUUAAAAGCUGCUGGCCUUUGGUCGCACGACCCGUUCGACGCCAAAAAAGAGGGCGCGUGGCGUUCAGCCAUAGCUCCGGCUCUUUUGCAAAAUAAAAAACCCUUCGGUUUUCUAGAAACACCAAAUAAAUACAGACCACCAUGAUGGUACAGUACUUGUGUUGAUUUAUUUUUCAUAUAGGCCCUCAAAGUAAUUUUUAUUUUUUACGCGAAGAAGAAGAAAUUCGAUAGAGCAGGAGAUCGACUCCGCCGCGCCGCAGAGGCCCGAGCCGCGGGCCCGCGCUCUUGGAGCGCCCCCUCUCUCCCCUGUUCUCUCAGGGUGCUCCUAUGCCGGCCGCUGCCGCAGGACAUCGGGCGGUGCCCCUGCGUCAUAGCCAGGGAGGCUGCCUCGGGAGCUAGAGGAGUCCCGCUCUACUCACUCUACACCAAUGAGGGGUAGGGACGGCUUGACCGGAAGCUGCCGGUGGCGCGGCAACGGAGGAGCAGGGGGAGGUUGGAGUUCAUAAUGGCGCAGAACCAGGACGACAUGUACUAUCAUCAAGAUAUUUCAGGGCUAAAGUGUAUCGAUUACACAUGCUGCUAAAUGUUGUGCGAUCGGGCAGUCACAUCAUGUUGUUUUGUACUUGAGUCUCAUAUGAUGCACUGCCAGGGGACCACUUGAUUUUCCUUGGAUCAUCUUGUUUGCAAGUUGCAGAUUGAUACAAGCUGUUAUUGCCUUAUUGGUCCAUGCAUAAUGCGCAUCUGU